RNAcentral lists this ribosomal RNA (460 nucleotides) under uncultured bacterium. RNAcentral's name for it is "partial 16S ribosomal RNA". It matches the Rfam family "Bacterial small subunit ribosomal RNA", at positions 338 to 795 of the family's 1533-position model. The record is from RNAcentral.
CCUACGUGUGGCCGCAGUGAGGAAUAUUGGUCAAUGGACGCAAGUCUGAACCAGCCAUGCCGCGUGCAGGAAGACGGCUCUAUGAGUUGUAAACUGCUUUUGUACGAGGGUAAACGCAGAUACGCGUAUCUGUCUGAAAGUAUCGUACGAAUAAGGAUCGGCUAACUCCGUGCCAGCAGCCGCGGUAAUACGGAGGAUUCAAGCGUUAUCCGGAUUUAUUGGGUUGAAAGGGUGCGUAGGCGGUUCGUUAAGUUAGAGGUGAAAGCCCGGGGCUCAACUCCGGCACUGCCUCUGAUACUGUCGGGCUAGAGUUUAGUUGCGGUAGGCGGAAUGUAUGGUGUAGCGGUGAAAUGCAUAGAGAUCAUACAGAACACCGAUUGCGAAGGCAGCUUACCAAACUACGACUGACGUUGAGGCACGAAAGCGUGGGGAGCAAACAGGAUUAGAUACCCUAGUAGUC